RNAcentral lists this ribosomal RNA (253 nucleotides) under uncultured bacterium. RNAcentral describes it as "partial 16S ribosomal RNA". It matches the Rfam family "Bacterial small subunit ribosomal RNA", at positions 524 to 776 of the family's 1533-position model. The record is from RNAcentral.
UACAGAGGGGGCAAGCGUUGUUCGGAAUUACUGGGCGUAAAGGGCGCGUAGGCGGCCUUCUAAGUCGAACGUGAAAUCCCUGGGCUCAACCCAGGAACUGCGUCCGAGACUGAAAGGCUUGAAUCCGGGAGAGGGAUGUGGAAUUCCAGGUGUAGCGGUGAAAUGCGUAGAUAUCUGGAGGAACACCGGUGGCGAAGGCGGCCUUCUGGACAGCAACUGACGCUGAGACGCGAAAGCGUGGGGAGCAAACAGG